This 71-nucleotide transfer RNA is filed under the name Bos taurus (domestic cattle). It matches the Rfam family "tRNA". From Rfam's summary of the family: Transfer RNA (tRNA) molecules are approximately 80 nucleotides in length. Their secondary structure includes four short double-helical elements and three loops (D, anti-codon, and T loops). The record is from Rfam by way of RNAcentral. Lineage: Eukaryota; Metazoa; Chordata; Mammalia; Artiodactyla; Bovidae. RNAcentral also lists the same sequence under 5 other names.
UCCCAGGGGGCUGAGUGGUAAAGAAUCUGCCUGCAAUGCAGGAGACCCAGGUUCAAUCCCUGGAUCAGGAA